ACUCAAAUGAAUAGACGGGGCCCCGCACAAGCGGUGGAGCAUGUGGUUUAAUUCGAUGCAACGCGAAGAACCUUACCAAGGCUUGACAUGGUAUCGCAAGCCGUAGAGAUACGGCCCUCCUUCGGGACGGUACACACAGGUGGUGCAUGGUUGUCGUCAGCUCGUGUCGUGAGAUGUUGGGUUAAGUCCCGCAACGAGCGCAACCCUUAUCCUUAGUAGCUAACGGGUGAUGCCGAGCACUUUAGGGAGACUGCCGUGAAUAACACGGAGGAAGGCGGGGACGAGGUCAAAUCAUCAUGCCCUUUAUGUCUUGGGCUACACACGUGCUACAAUGGUCGGUACAGAGCGAAGCGAAGCAGUGAUGCGGAGCAAAGCGCAAAAAGCCGGCCCCAGUUCGGAUUACAGUCUGCAACCCGACUGUAUGAAGCUGGAAUCGCUAGUAAUCGCAAAUCAGCAUGUUGCGGUGAAUACGUUCCCGGGGCUUGUACACACCGCCCGU
Molecule: ribosomal RNA, 499 nt
Filed under: uncultured bacterium
Lineage: Bacteria
Description: bacterial SSU rRNA
Rfam family: Bacterial small subunit ribosomal RNA
Source: RNAcentral